UAACUGUAUACAGUGUCAGGCGUAAAUGACGGCAGAAAGCGUUUCUCCAUGCCCCUACGAAACCAGCGGCAUGCAGCAGGGAGCUCUGCGGGCCCUGUUGACCGAGCAGCCUGUCCCCAGCCCACACCCUCACCUGCUAAAGAAGGGGCAAGAGGGGUGGGGAGCAGGGGGAUGCCCAAGAGGGGAAGGGCAGCGAAGGAAUUGGGCAGGACAACACCCUCCGUGGGAACACGGCCUGGUUCAUUGCCUCAGAGCCCAGCCCAUCACACUGCCUCCGAGCACAGUGCUUCCUAGCUGAUCUCACCCAUAAUGCCAAGCUAUUCUUAAACCUCUUAUCAAAACAAAAACAGGCACUUCUAGAAAUGUGCAUCAGCCCCAGCAAGUUACAGGACACUCAUAUUAUCCAUUUCCUCACCCUCUUUUCCUACCCCUCCCUGGGUGGUCCGCCUCCGCCAGCUUCCUCAUAGCUCAGCCUGAGCCACGAGCUUCCCCUGAGAGGAAGCUAAUAUUCAGGAUAUUGCAGGGAAGAUGACAUAUCUGUCAAAUAAAACCAAAACAAUCCAAAACAAUAUGCCCACAAAAAAAACAGUGCCAAAGGAACGAGCCUGUGCAGAGGAGCCUGGCUGAUAACCUGAGCGCUCCUCAGGUCAGGGGUUGGCAGGGGAGAGGGAGGGAGCACUGCAGUAACACCUCCAGAUAAAGAGGAGGCGGAGAAUGAGAGCUUCCUGCUCACACCUUGAGGUAUAUGAAAGAAUAUGACAGCAUUUGUAAUAAUUAGUGUUGCUUUGUUGACUGGUCCCUUUUUGCAUGCUUUAUCUUCUCUUGCACUCUGUUUUGAAGAUCUCUCCCUUCAUUCUCCCCUACCAUACUAGAUCAUUUUGUGUGAAUUUUGAAGAUGAAUUUGAAGAGAAAUCCAUAUGGGGACUCAUGCUUGUGUUAACUUUCUUUCCAAAAGGGUCAGCUGGUGUUUCCGUGGGGUCUCACUGAAUAACAACUAUCAAAAUAGGCAACUCAGUGAGAUCCUGUGAGUUUUUGAAAAUACAUACAAGAAUACAUGAAUGUAUAGUUGCUAACUAGCACAGAAAUAGUACUAAGAGUUACAGAAAAAUAUUCUGUAUAAAGCAUAUAAUUUGCGUUAGAUGAACUGCAGCAACCAUGGCAACUCACAUUAUUUUUUUCAAGGCAAAACCAACAUUCACCUUCUCUACUGCCUGAUGCUGCUUUGCCAUUAUUUAAUAGUUCCAAAAUUAUUGCUCUUUUUACUCUCACUCUUAUAUCCCCACUUGCCACAGAAGUAUACUAGAGGCAAUUUUACAGAAUAGUCCUCAAAGCUGACUCACUUAUUCCCUCAGUACUGCUCAGAUACCGCUGCACCCACACAGGGUAUGGAUAAACAACUCACUGCAAGGUAAGUUAGGGUAAAUAUUUUCCAUGUACCUACUACUCCAUAGCAACUGCCUGUGUGCAUUCUUACCCAGGAUUAAUACAAUUGUUCAGUUAGGAAAAAGCAUUCAGUGGUGAUCCCUGAGGAACAGAUAGGAAUUGGUAGAUGAUACAUCUUCGCUUACUGAGAGACACAGAGAUUUUUAUAACCUAUAUAAUCAGAUGGGAGGAAAAAAAAAAAGAUGACUACCUUCAAUCUCCUGCCUUGCUUUAUGCUCAGAGCAAAAUUUGGUAAACAUAAUCCUUUAUUUUUGCAUCAAGCAAACAGGUGGCGAUGUACAAAUUCCUUGUAUGUAAGCAAAAUAGCUCACCAGUUUACAACACCCAGCUUCAAGAGUUCUCAUUAAUUUUGAUGGAUGUCUUAAAAACACAUGCCUAUACUAUGUAAUUUAUACAUGAUAUUCAGCAAAGAAUGUAUCAGGUGACAAAAAAAAUAUGACUGACAGUUACUUACACCGAGUAUUGCUAAGCUCAUGCCUGCAUUCAUAUUAAGUUUCAACACUGCAGGGAGGUAUUUACUCGGUUGCUGUUGUUCUAAUGCAUAAACAGAAAACAAUUAAGUGCGCAGAAGUGAGUUGCUAAAAACAAAAACUACAGAUGCCCCAUCCACGGCUUGUGAAUCGGAGGUGGUCAAGACUUACUGUACUGCAGUCACCACCUCUUCAGGCGAAUCAAGACUAAUUAUAACAGAGUUGCUAGCCUACUUGCAACAAGUUACAAUUCAAGAAGAAUCACACAGGUUAUGAUUGGAGAAGAAUCACACAGGAAGCCAUCUCAGAAGUCUCAUCACCAGGGUGCACGUUGGAAUAAUGAGACUCAGAAUGACUCCAAGAUAGGAAAGAAUCUGUGGAAGCUUUCCCCAGGGAAAGAAAUCCAGAACUGUAGAAGGAACUCUGGACAGAAUGUCAGGGCCUUUAAGAUGACCAUCUAUAUCCAGUUCGUCUAACACUUAUCUUUGUGUAUUUCUGUGUGAAUCAUCACUUACAAGCUAUCAUUUCAAAGAACCAGACACUUUCAAAUCCUGGCUACAAACAAAUUUCAGCUAUAUCCUCCGCCAUCAAGGAAAGUACAAUAUGAUUUUUUGGUGAUAAUUACUCACUAAUUUUUUCAACAUAAGGGUUGGGAUGUUACACACCUUAAUAAGGAAAUACAUGAAAACCUCUACAGCUACCUUUUGUAAUACCAUUAAAGAGUAACCGCCACCUGUCUUCUACUUCAAAGCGCAUACUCUUUGGAGGCUGACCCUGCGCUGCUGUUUGUUUUGCAAGUUGCCUGGCAGAGAAGCCUGAGCAAUGGAGAACAAAACCAAAACGAAGCCAUCUUCAUCAGGUAUCCCAUUCCAAAUUAGCUGGAGAGUGAUCAAAAUACUAUUCCAAACCACAGAAGCAGUAGCAUGUGGAUCACCUACAGUAAAGGGGCUUAAAACUUAGGUGAUGCUACUGUCUCUUAAUUUACAGGAAAAUUCAGACUAGGAUAUUUUACAGGUAAAUAUUGACCUUAAUACACUAGUUCUCUAAUUGUAGGCAGCCCUCAAAAUUAAAAACAUAACAUUAACAAAGAAUUCACAGUACCAAGAGCUGAAAUAACCUAAAAUAAUUAGCUGGAGAAUAUUCUCAUGGCUUGAGGUAGAAAAAACCACUGUUUAGUAGCUCUCCUCCACCACUCACUCUCACUGCUAUUUAAUUCUGCUUGUAAGGAACCCUGUCUCUCCUGUAUCUACAGAUGCGCAAAUAACAGGAACAUGUUCCAUUAAACAUUGUAUGCCAAAGCCUACAUGCAAUUAAGCCUGACCAAACAGUUUCUAGGAGCUUGAAGAUAUUUGCUUUCCUGACAAAAAUCCUGCACACAAAAGCUCCUUACAUAAGUACCUAUGCCUUUGGUAUGUUUCCAUCAAAAAGAUUCCUGCCCCAGGAAAUAAAAGCUAGCUUCUCUCUUGUUUGACUGAUUAGACAGCAACAUGCCACUUUUACACUUAGGAAACCACACAAAUACAUUCCUGGACAACAGGAGAGAAGAGAAAUUCAGUGUGUUCACUGCUUCCCCACCUCCCCUGGACUGAAGUUAAUCUCAUACAGAGCCUUUCAGCUCAGGUUCCUCUGUGAGACUGAGAAAGCACCUGUAGGUAUGCAAAUGCAAACCAUUCUCCCUUAAUAGCUACUGUAUUUGACAACUGGAAAAUGGAUUUCUGUGAAGCAGACAAUGACUUGCAAUGCUUCUGGGAACAGCUAAGAUCCAUUUCGCCAUACAUCACAAUUAAUAAAAGGAAACAAACUUCAUUCAUUUACAUUAGCUUUGAAUCACAUUUUACCCUCAUUCCUUUUUGUCCUGACUUCUAUCUUCUAACAGUACCCAUAGCACAACACAGAAAUUUAGGCAGAGCUCAGGUUAGAUAUUUACACCAAGCAGCACAGCAGAGAAAUACUAAAUAUUUUUGUGGAAAUAGAAAGACAAGUGAGGAGAAAGCCACGGUGAGAUGCUACUCCAGUGGGACGGAGUUGCUUGUGCCAAUGACAUGCACCAUAGGCACCAUGGUGGGUUGGAGUUGGCUACAGUAGUGAAAAUGUUGCUGUUCCCAUGGCCCAGUAGUCAAGUCAAUCCAGUGCACUUGAUCAUGCAGAUCUACCUCGGUUCAAGCAAAAUGAGGGGAGGGAGGCUGUGUACUGUCUGAACCAGCACACUCCUGUCUUCUUCACAGAACACGCUACAUUGGAAGCAGACUGUUUUUUGACCUACUUAAUCAUUUUCACUCAUGUGCUCAUAUUUGAGCUGUUUGAAGGAAAUAGGCCUUGAAUUUUUAUAUUCUCACAUAUCUUCAUGCUCAGUGUAUAUUUCUAUUUAAACAGCUUUUCAAGCCAUUGCACUUUUUCACUGCAAAAUUCAUGUUUUGGAAAAAUGUAUAAACUAAAAGCUAAAAAAAGUCCUAUGGAGAAAGGAUAUUUGAUGCACUAAGAUUUCCUUUCUCGUCUCAGCCCCAUUUCAGCUGAUGUUUCAGUUCAGCAAAGAUUUCAAAACUGACACUUGAACUGAAUUCCUCAAAUUGGAAUCCAACCCUUGCAUUCAGAUUCUUCUCAGUUUUACUUUCUCCAGCUCCCACACACACUUCUCUGCCCUUUUGCCAUAGCACCUUGUUGUGUAAAUAUGCUUUCUGAUUAAGUCAAGAAGCCCCAGCACUUCCCUCCAGCUUUUUUCCUCAUAAAACUCACACUGUCCAUUAAAAGAAGGAAAAUUAUCAAGUGUCUUUUAUCAAGCAACACUGGAAGACACCUGACGAAGCAUAAACAUGGAGCACCGGCCUAAUUUACUCUGAGUAUUCAAACCAACACUACACACUCAUCCUCUACAUCCGUACUGGGAAGUCAGGCAAUGAACUGAAUUUGUCCUGCAUGCACCGCUGAGUGCAGCUACUGUGCAGCCAUUGCCCACACAAACCCAAGCAAACAAAGCUCAGGAAUGCAGGCUUGUUGGCUGCCAUCAGCCCAUGGAUUCAAAGGCUUACUGUCCCACCUGAACAACAAAAAAAAAAGAGUACUGCAUAGAAUAAAAAGUUUGCAAGCACAGUUGCAUUGUUUUUGUGACAAUCACCACCCUUGACUGACUAUACCACCUGAAUAACUGGAAAUUUCUGUACAGGGUAUGUCUUAAUUAAAUCAACUAUCUUGUUGCAUGCAUUCACAAUUUAUUCAAAUAGUAUUAGAAAAAGGAAUGUGGUCACAAUUAGAAGAGGAAAAUGCCUCAGAAUGACAAAAUGUUGUUUAUAAAAAUAAAAGCUAUUCUUUUGCAAGAUAACUGCUUUCCUCCUGAAGAAAAAAAAAACGUCAUAAUGAAAUGGCAAAUAAUACUAAUAAAUAACUACUGCUAAGCGACUUUUGUGAUUUCUCAACAGCGGUCAAUAUCCAAUACAAGCGAUGAGCUCAGAUUUCAAAGAAUACAGUGUUCUGCACAGCAGAAGUGAGUGUUUUGCAGGAUAAACCCAGCAGAGGAAUCUCAUUACUGAUACAUCUUAUUCUGUGCUUAUUCAAGCUGGGUGGGCGUGCCUUCUGCAUAACCAUCUGAUGUGUGAUUUUAGUUACAUUACCCAUGUCAAAAUCAGUAACAAGCCAUCUUAAAUUAACUGAUAUUUUUAGAGGAGAUGUAGGUUUUAACUAAUGAUUCUGAAUAUAGUUUAUACAAAUACAUGCCAGCAUAUCGGCAGAAAAUUUCACCUAUUCCUACCUAUUAUUCCUGCACAGCUUUUAGUAAAAUGCCAAAUUUGUUGAUAAGAAAAACAAACUAAAAUUUCUAAGAAUUCAUAAUAUGUAUAUAUAUAUAUUUUUUUUUUCCAGCUCCAUGAUUGUAAAAUGUUUCAUGUAGAAGUAGUCAAACACUGGUCUAGAUUAAGAGGUUUAUAAUGCUUCCCAACCACAAUUUUAAUCACCUCCUCAGAUACCUCUGUAUACAACGUUCCACUCCUGCUAAAGCUUAACAGUGGUAGACUGUUUGACUGACUGAGCAAAUCAAAUCAAUUGCUUCCAGAGAAGCUGGCCUGAUUUCCUUCCUUAGUCAUGCUUCUUGGAGGCAGCUAUCAUAAAUUUACAGAAGUUCAAACCACCUUUCACUGGAUGUGACCUUUGCAGAAGUUCAGACAGGAACAUCCACAUAGGGCCACAUCAAAACCCUAUUGAGCCAGGAUCCCACCCUCCUGUGCAACUCUAAGUGGUUGCCUAAGGAAGAGUGAAAAUAGAGGGACUUCCCAAGCUAGAUGUGGUUUCCCUAUAUUAAGUAACUCUUAAGAGAUUUCUCUUCCAUGAACUUCUCCACUACCCCAUGAACUCAACAUUUAUCUUACACAGCAUCGUCUGACAAGGAAACCUACUACCCCCUCAUUUGGAUGAUUGCUCAAUAAGAAUGAGACACAGCGAGUAGCUCAGUUACUCUGCUAUACUACUUCCUAGUAAGGUUUUUAUAUUUGUUGUUCGUUACUUUGUCCAUCUCCCCUUCGCUUAAGGAGGGAUUCAUCCUCCCUCUUUCUGGCUAAGGACUUCCAUCACAUUUAAACAAGCAGCAGAAGCUAAUUCCCAUUUUUGGUACAAGCAUUAUGAGAAUUAAGAUUUUUUGAUGCCACUGGAUUCAUAGGCUUUUUGGGGUAUUAGGAGAGGCGAGAGGAGAAUAACAGAGGGGUAAGUGAUCAAGCCCCAAAGCUUCAUGUGAUAUUUAUGACACUGGCAAACUACAGAUUACCCACAGCAGCACAAUAAUGUGCCAUUUUUCCUUCUAGUCCUAAUAAUUCUUAGCAAUGUUUGGGUUUUAUUUCUGGGUGGGGCUUUUUCUUGGUUUGGUUUUUUUUUGGGGGGGUGGUUUUUUUUGUUUUUGACUGCUAUUGAACAGAUACUUUCACAAAACUCUCACAGAACUAUUAACCCUAUUAUUUCAGUCCUGAAUAGCAUGAUCUGUUCCGUAGUUUAUCAUUUUCUACAUGAAAUGGGAAUUGUUCUGACUUUCCUGUUUUCACUUAAAUAACCCAAGUUUUCCUUGUAUUUACACAUGUAAAGAAUAACAUAUCUAAAAAAUUAGCAAAAGAUCAUUAAAAGCUUCUUACUAGAGUAGUCAAUACUGAUAAAUUUGGAUGGAUUAGGAUUAGUCUGUAGAAUUUAGCAGUAAUUCCCUAAUUGCACAGAUCUGUGAUGGAAACAGAUCAAAUCUUAAAGUCAAACCACAUAUAAGUAUAUUGUGCCCUCUGUUAACUUGAGCGUUUUUAGCUAAUGUUUUACCAAGCACAUCCCUCAUUCCCAGAAAAUGAUCAUGGCUGAGAACAUCUUAUAGACAUCAGGUCAUGGAGUUAAAAAGCAUGAAUUAUUGCAUCAUAAAUCUGACAAGCAUAUUUGAGCACUUAUUCACAGGGCACAAGUGGCUGUCUGUAAUUCAAUAUCCUUUACAAAAGUAAAAGCAUUUUGAACUUAGUCUCCCUUUCCCCACCCCAAUUGACUAUUUUAUCAUAUAAUGCAUUGGAAUCCACGUCAGUUGAUGAGUAUCUUUACGUACUGGGUUCAAAGGUGUGUACGUGUUUACAUUCACUGGACAUCUUUUCUAGAAGGGAAAGGAAAGAGGAAAUAUAAUAUGCAUUACUCAACCUCUUUACUCUGGUCCGAGUAACAUGCUACAGUGACUUUCACAUUUUUCCUUCUGAGUCAGUUUCUGAUACGCCCCAGCACCAAGCUGAAGGGAUCACCAGGAGGGCACAGCCAAUACAAGGAGGGUAGGGCUCGAUUUGGAGGACUGGCCCUGUGGAAACCUCGUGAUUUUCAAGGAGAACAAAGUCCCAGUUCUGAGCUUGGACAAACUAACUACUGCAAUGGCACAGCUGGAUGAGGAGCAGGGCCUGGAGGAUGGUAAGAAAGGAAACGUCGGUCAAGGCUGAUGGUCAUGACCAUCCUUCCUUUCCUCAGUGCUAGUUAUGCCACAUAUAGAAUGUGGAUUUCAGUUCAGUGCCCAACAAGACAUUACUAAAAUAGAGCAAGUUGAGUGGGGAAGCCAACAGGAUGGUUGGAGCUGGAGAUCCUGAGCUUCAUAGUCCAGCUUUUUCAGCCUGGAGAAGCAUUCUUUAGAUGUGGGUUUUAUUAAAGAUCUCUAUCAUUAAAAAAAAAAAAAAGAUCACACCUUUAUGUGGCUAAGCAUGCUGUUAUUUAGCAGUCUUCUCCCCACAAAAUGCUCUCAUAACCAUGGGACAGGACAUGAUUUCAUUUAACUGGUCUCAGUGACAGCAUGGACAAAAAAAAGCCUGCAGCCAUCUCAACAUGUGCUCUGCAAAGAUAUCUGCAUUUGUUAUUGUACUGUAGUACUCAGAAUAGAAAAUCUGUUAAUGCCACAUUGAAGAACACUAUUUGAGUCCUCCGGUUAAGCAAUAAUAAAAAGUAGAGCUGAAAUCUCUGAAAGCCCUGUAACAAUAAUAUUAAUCAUAAUAGAGGAAUAAGAAUGGCCCAAAGCAGGAUUUGAUAUCGAGUACAAUCUACAGCUGUCAAUACACUGUUCAGCCUUACUCUCUCUACCUACAGAGUACAGUUAAUUGACAAACUCCUGUAUUCAUGAAAAGGUUUAAGUCAGCUUCCCUUAACAUAUAAAACAGGAGCUCUUUCUAUUCAUUCCAGAUUCAGCAACUAAAGACAGUAAAUUUGUGUACGUGUUUCUGUAUAAUUGACAUGAAGGUAAUGCAAGUUUAUUCUUUUUAGAAGUCCAUUAACUCCCAAACUCAGACACAUCUGCAGUUUUGUGUUAAAAACAAACAAACAACAACAAAAAACCCACAACAAAGAAGAAAAAAAAUGCAGAUUUUAUCUUCCUUCAUAACUCACUACUACUCAUCCAACAUGAUUGCUUUGUUUUAUAAACUGAAUUAAAUCCUGAGAAGCCAGGAUAUUGAUGUGCAUGCUUACAAAUGAAUACAGAUGCUCAAGAGAUCCUAAAAGGUUGGGAGAUUUUACAAAGUAAAAAAGAGCUCUGAAAAGAGUAUUGAAAAGCACUGUAAAGGCUUCUAAUAGUAAGUUUUCUGGGGGUACAAAACCAUUUUUUCAGAGAUACUUUUAAAAUGUAAUCUUUCAGCAAAAUUUACUGCAACUUCCUUCAGCAAAUCAUUCAUUUUUGUAGUAUAAAUAUUUAAAUUUCAAUAUAGGGUUAGAGAUACAUGUCACUAACGAUAUCUGAAAUACUGUCAGUAUUACUAACACACACUAAUGUCAUUUUGCCAAGUUCGUUAAGGUGAUUUUCUGUACAUAGAACCCUAGAAGUUUUUCAUUCCUUCAGCAAAAUCAUCUCACAAAAUAGAUAAUUGGUAAUCAAACACCAUCAAGAUUAUAGGCCCGUAAAAGGGUAAGUUACCUGUUAAAUCACUCAAGAGAAAAAGUGAACCAUCUCAGACGUUUCUCUUCAUGAUUAGAAACUUCAGAGAAAGUUCAAAGAUUAAACAGUACCACACCCAACAUUUUAUAGACUUUACACUGAAAAGUUGGAGGUUAACCCUGGCAGGUACAGUCCAAAGUCUGGAACAUAUUUGAUUACCUCCAACGGUUUUACUGGAAUGAUUUAAAGCUAAUGCAAAUUAGUGACAUGUGUGAGAAUUGCACACUGAGCACAACAGUUUGACAUGACUGAUGAAAUAUACUCAUCUCCAUUGUUACCUCUGCGUAACAAUUAUUAGUGUUGAUAAAAGUUAAACAUGAAAUGCAUGAUCUUGAAAAGGAGUUAUCACAAACAAUAUAAACACAGCAAUUUUAAUGUUUAAAAUAGGAUGUGUGAAUAUAACUUACUUAUAUGAAAAUGCCCACAGGAAAGAGGAAAUUUCCACGCUUAGAAAGUCAUAGGAACAUUUCUAGAGUCAUUCUGAAGUGAGGGUGCUGCACUUUUCCAUUUCAAGGGAAGUAUCACUAGGAAACUUAGUUACCACAAUAAAAACUUAUUACAACCACAUGUGUAAGAAAUGUUAUUUCCCUAGAAGUCAGAAAAUGACUUUUAAAAGCAGCAUUCAUUAUUUUAAUUAAUUUUUCCUUAAAAAGGCUUUCAUUCCAGAAAACCCUCACUUCCAUUCCUUUCCCCUCAACUUGAAUUCAAAGAUACUCUCUUUGAGCCGUUGAGCUGAUAGACUUUUCAGCCAUUCCGGUAGAAUCUGAAGACCUUACACAGGUACAAGUUUCGGGGUAACUGCUAUCAUUUUUCUUGCACUGAAGCAAUUGGCUUUCAUCCAGUCCACAACUUUCUAUUCUACACAGAAUAAAAAAGGCAGGAAAGGGUGGUUCUGUUUUGUGUGUCUGGGGUGGGUAUUUUUGUUUUGUUGUUUUGUUUUUGUUUUAAAGGCAAAUUAGAACUAGCUUUUUCAACUCAUAUUCUGUGUUUCUUAGAAAAAUUAAAUCACUAGAGCAGAUUCAGGCUCAGAGCCAUCAUGUAUUCUCAUUAUAACCCUGAAAUUCCUGGGUUUUAAAAAAAAAUUCAAGAAAGUAUAGCAACUCUACAAGUACAUUAGCAAUGUAAGACUCAAAUAUGAAUUCAAUACUAACAACAACAAAAUUGAACUCUGAAUUACCUAGCCACAAAUUGACUUGCAUUCUCUUUUUUUUUUUUUUAAAUCUCUAUUUUCUGUUUAGACAAUCUCCAUCAAAAUUUAAAAUGCGACAGUUCUUUGUGAAGCACAAAAUGGGAUACAACUCUCAAAAGAGUUUCUCAUUACCUCUCAAACGUUUAGGCCUCCUUUAGGUACUAGAAAGCCACAAGAAGUUCCCUCAGAGCCAUCUCCUCUUAAGACUGAAUAACUCUCGGCCUCUCUUCAGAGAAGAGGUGCUCCAGCACUCUGAUCAUCUUCGUGGCCCUCCUCUGGACCUGCUCCAACAGGUCCAUGUACUUCUUAUGUUUGGGAACUCAGAGCUGAAUGCAGUACUCCAGGUGAGGCUUCAAGAGAGUGAAGUAGAGGGGGACAGUCACCUCCUUAUCCCUGCUGGCCACGCCUCUUUUGAUGCAGCCCAGGAUACAGUUGGCUUUCUGAGCUGCAAACACACACCGCUUCCUCAUAUUGAGUUUUCCCAUCAGCCAACACCUUCCCUAAGCCCUUAUCUGCAGCACUGCACUGAAUCCAUUCUCCACCCAGCCUGUAUUUGUGCUUGAGAUUGCCCUGACCUAUGUGCAGGACCUUGUACCUGGCCUUAUUGAACUACAUGAAGUUCACACAGGCCCACCUCUCAAGCCUGUCAAUGCUGAUCUGGGUGGCAUGCCUUCCCUCCAGCAUGUUGAGUACACCACUCAGCUUGGUGUCAUCUGCAAACUUGCUAAGGGCACAUUCAAUCACGCUGCCCAUGUCACCGACAAAGAUGUUAAAUAAUAUUGGUCCCAAUCUGACUCCUGAGGAACAUCACUCAUCAUUGGUCUUUACCUGGACAUCGAGCUCUUAACCACAAAUCUUUGAGUGCAACCACCCAGCCAGUUACUUAUCACUGAGUGGUCCACCCUUCAAACCCAUCUCUCUCCAAUUUAGAGACAAGGAUGUCAUGCAGAACAGCAUCAUGCGGUUUGCACAAGUCCAGGCAGAUGGCUUCUGCUCUUUCCUUAUCCACCAAGGCUGCAUCCCUGUUGCAGAAGGCAACCAGAUUUGUCAUUGCUUCUGCCCGCUUUGUCAUUGAUUUGCCCUCCAUAAAGUGAUGUUGGCUGUUACCAAUAACUUUUCUGUUCUCCACAUGUCUUCACACAGUUUCCAGGAGGAUCUGCUCCACAGUCUUGUCAGACACAGAGGUGAGACUGACCAGCCUAUACUCCCUGGGCAGUACAAAGCACGAGAGGCAAUACCGGUACCUUCUAAGCCCACAAGGGAAGUAACAGCAGAGGAAACAGAAUAACUGGCCAUUCCUGAAGUGCUGUGAUAUGAGGAUACACAGUCAAGCAGAUUAAAUACAUUCAAAAAAGAAAAGGUUUCUGACCAUUAAAAGAUUCUGAAGUGAUGGUGAUAACAGUGACAAAAAUCAACUAGAUGUUUUCAAUAUGGAGUUUGAUCAAUGCACAUCAAUGAGCAUUUAGAGCUGGAAUUAGA
Long non-coding RNA from Numida meleagris (helmeted guineafowl), 11980 nucleotides. RefSeq lists it as uncharacterized. The transcript has 5 exons. The record is from RefSeq and is a predicted model, not a curated record. NCBI's taxonomy places the organism in Eukaryota, Metazoa, Chordata, Aves, Galliformes, Numididae.